UCAGACAUCCUUGUAAAGAGUUCACACGCCUGCAGAGAUUUGAAUUUGCGGUCAGUGGAGCUGGAUGCAGCCACGGUGGGAAUGAGGAGAAGUUGCAUGGCCAUGUGGACACCUGCAGUGCCAGUCCUGAGGUGGGAUCACAGCCCUGCAGCAUCCCAGAAAAGCAAACAGUAUCUGCAAGCCUGAAAACACCCAGCACCUGCUGAGGAGUGAUCAGAAGAAUUACCAACACAGAUCCACCAGGACCAACGUGCUCUGCUGGGAAAACCCUCCCAAUCUGAGGCAUUUGAGGCUUGUCCUGGAGCCCUGGCAGCACUGCUGCUGGCUGUGGUGAGCUGAUGGAUGAUGCUCCAGCCCCAGGGGUCUCAAUGUCCCCAAAAUGUGCCCUUAUCUGGUGCAGCAGGAGUUAAGAGAAAGCGAGCUGCUAUCUCACUGAUCCCUGCUGGGACAGCUCUCCUCAUUUUUAGCUUUGAUAUUCUUGUGCUGGAACAACCCUGGCUUCUCUGGGCUCAUUUUUUUGCAAAGCCUGGCUGGGAUUUUAACCAGAAAGGGUUGGGGAAUCUUAUCAAUCUGCUAUUAUUAUUAUUUUUUUUUUCUUUCCCCUUUGAAUUCCACUCUGCUGCUGACUGUGAAAACACAACAAGAGCCUGAAAUCGGUGGGGCCUUGGCGCAUUCAAAUUGGCACCAGUUUGUUUGUUUUGGGGCUAAAGCCAGAGUGAGAAAGCCGGGGCUUUGAGAUGCUAUUGGAAUCACCUGGGAAAAUACACACUCCUUUCAUCUCCCCUGUGGCCAGGAGGGAUCUCUGCCCCCAGCUGGGCUCCUCCCAGCCCCCUCCUCCUUUUUAUCAGGGCAGGACCCUGGCUGUGCCUGGGGACGGGCACUUGGCCAUAUCACAUGGAGUGAAAGUCCCCGGGGAAUAGAUGUUUCUCUUUCAAGGGGGAGAGCGUUGGACAAGGUAUCAAAUACCUUCCAGGCUGUCAAAAAUCAAUGCUGGGAGCUGCUUCUCUUGAUCCUGACAAGGAGCUGCUGGUAACACCUAACCGCUGGUGCUGCUCCAAAAGGGGGACCUGAAUGCAGCAAUGCAGGUUUUUUUAUUUUAAAUUUUUUUUUCUUGCAGAAAUGACAUGUCCAGAGACAUGCACAAAGCUCCUUGAACAAUUUAUUUUUUUUUUUAGGCUUCUAAAAAUUUUUAUGCAUCUUUCUGAGCCUGUAAAAACAAUGAUUCUUUUUCUCUUGUAAGAACCAAGGCCAAACUCCCUGCAAUGGAAAUAGUUCUGCUGGCCCUGCACACCAGCACUGGUGUCACCACUCUCUGAUUUUCUCCCUCAGCCCCAGGUCCCUCACUAGAAGGUGAUGAAAGCAGUGGCUUACAAGAAGCUUUGGGGAUGGUGUUAGCCAUUUAUUUGCUCAAUGCUGUCUGUUAGGAAGAAAUUCUUGGCUGUGAGGGUGGGCAGGCCCUGGCACAGGGUGCCCAGAGAAGCUGUGGCUGUCCCUGGAUCCCUGGCAGUGUUCUAGGACUGUAUCAGUUUUCAGGACACAGAUCUGCUGCAGAGCAGGAAUUUGCCCUUUCUGGAUCCGUGUAGCCUGCUCACACCCACUGCUAGAGAGUGAUUGAUACGAGCUCAGCCAGCAGCCCUGGGUUUGAAAAAGGUUUCAUUUGGAGAGAAACAUCCCACAUUUAUCAAACAGAAGGAUGACAUGGCCCCUCUGAAGAGGGCCUUGAAUGUUUACAUGAACUUUGUUGUCCAGCUGUAAGCUCAGCUCUUCCAUCUGCAGCCUGGAAGGUGUGAUCCCACAGGGUCACACCCUCAACCCCCCCAUCACCUGAGCUGUCAAACAAGGAAUGGGCUCUGCACAUGGGUUUUGAACAUCUUGGAAAUGAGGGGGGUUUUCAGCAAGUUCUGGUUGCUUUUUCAGUAAGGAAAUUUGUCCCCAUGUUCUCUUUCUCCUGUGUAGCUGAAGUCUCAUUACAGGCUCUUUGUUUUCUGGCCAUGUUCAAAAAUAAUUUCUGGUACUAUUCCCUACAGCAUUAACUAAGAAUUUGACCAGUCGAGACGCCUGGUACAAGAGUUUCAUAAGAUUCAUGUAUGACUGAGACCAAAAUGGUUUUAAUAUCUGUUUGCCAGUGACAGGAUUUGGGAUUUCUUGGCUUUGUUUAUUGUGUUCCUUCUCUGUUAGCUCCAGUGAUGUGCCUGAAAAAAAGCAUUGCACAGACACCAGGUUUUGCUGCAUGAGUCACUGCCAGAAUGAGGAUUGAUAUCUACCCCAGUCUUGAAUUUCCUCAUGUUUGGUGGUACCUUCCCUUUCCUCUCUGCCUUUAGCCCAAACUGGUGCUUGAAGUGCUUGUUUUGGAAAAGCACAGAGCAUGAAGGUUUUGAUUGGGUAUUGGGAAAAAUUUCUUGAUUAAAAGGGUUGUCAAGCACUGGAACAGGCUGUCCAGGGCAGUGGUGGAGUCACCAUCCUUGGGGGAAUUUAAAAGAUGUGUGGAUGUGGCACUUGGCAGUCUGGGGGAAAGGUUGGACUCGAUGAACCUAAAAUACUUUUCCAACCUAAACAAUUUUAUAUAGCAUAGAAACAACUCUCUGCACCUGUAGGGAAGGUCAUGAGAGCUGGUCUGAUCAUUCUGUGUGUGAAAGGUCAUGAAUGGUGCCCCACUUAGCUCAUAAAUUGCUGUAAAAGUUCAGGAUUUUAAAAAUAAUGAGUUAUUCCUUUUAGGUUAUGUUAUUUUCCAUUCCUUGGGUUUUCAGGCUUUGGUUCCCAAAUUCACAGGUACAGGGCAAGCUGAGGCACAGUGCAGAAUGAUUUCAAGGAAAAGAACUAUCAAGUGGAUUCAUUUUUGGAACUGUUUCAUUGGUCUGUAAUAUCAUAAACACUGCCUUUUAAGCAAUGUUUGCUCCCAGUUGCCACAAUAAAACCUGGCUCAGACCAGUAUGGAGAUGACCUGAGAUCUUCACAUCUUAUGCACUAUCCUCACCACCCUUGUAGCAGGGAUGAAAUGUCUCCCAAGGAGUCCUUAGAGCAUGGCAAGGCUGCUGUCCCCAGGAAAAGGUGAUAAAUUGGGCACUGACCUGGGGACUUGCCCCAGAGCACUAAAUAAAUGCAUGAACAAAUCUGGCAGAGGUUUUCACUUGGGGAGCAGAAACCCCACAUUUGCAACAUAAUCCAGUGCCACCCAGUUGGGAAAACAGUCUUUCAAGAAAAAAUGGCCCAAAUUUUCUGCUUACAUCCAGACUUUGAUGCUGGAGUAUUUUUUCUGUCACUGAGAGAUGAUUGACUGUGACCUUUUUAAGAGCAAAGAGUUGUCAGGAGCUCCAGAUUCCAAGGUGGGAGUGUGGACUGCAACAUGCACUCUGUGGCAAAGCCUAAAAAUGGCUUUUCAGUGUCACCUGCAGCUUUUUGUUCACUCAGGUUUGUGUCCUGGCCUGUGAGACAGUCCCUGGACCACACCAAGGCACUGUGAUGAUGUAGAGUGGCAAAGACAUGAUUGUGUUAAAUCUGUGGGAUUUGUAAUGGUAUUUUUCCCUCCAGCAGCACAUCCCUGAAUUAAACCAGGCUUUCUGUGCAGAAUAACUGGCAGCCUCUGCACAACAUCUGCUCUUGGUGGGGCAGUGGAGCACGUGCCUGGUACAAGCAGUCCUGCCUGUGGCCAGUACAUUAGUGCAGAGCUUUAGGAAAGAUUUUACAGCAAAAUCCCAAUUUUGCAGUAAGCUGGCUGCAUGUUUUCACUUUCCCUGGUAAUUGCCAGCUUCUUGUGUCAUCAUAUCAGUUUCAGUGGCUUUUGAAGCCACCACACUGCCUUCUUCAGCAGAGGAGUGUUCUCUUAGACAUGGACUCUUCUGGAGAAGGAGCUUGUUUUUUUCCCAGGGAAGGCUGUGCUUCCAUGUGCACGUCCCAAAGGCACUCAGUGUCUCCACAGCCCAAUGUUUCACAGGCAUUACCAUCUUUUGUGCCUCUGUGAGGCUUUGCAGGGGGCUUAUCCCAGCCACUCUGCCUGGGGUGAGAUUGACCCCACUAAUGCAGGGCAAGCUUAAGGGUUUCAAAGCCUGCCUCAAGCCCUUGGAGAGCUCUCCAUAUUCCCAUCCUGUCCUCAGGACACUGCUGGCUCCCUGUGCAAUGCCCAGACCCAAGCAGCCUUUUGUUGUCCCCAAGUUCCACUGACAACAUCCUGACCGUGCUCUGUGCGAGUUGAGUUUAGUGAUGCUGCUGAGCUUGUAUGGAGGGUAUAACCCCUCCAGGAUAAGAGUUAUGCUUCCCACCAGACUCUUCCAGUCUGAGGCAGAAAAAGACAGGAUGAUCCAGCCAGUCUUUCAUCCCUAAUGAGAGCCUCCUCCUUCUGCCAUGGAGCUGUGCCAUUGUCCCUGUCGAUAUUGUUGUAGCAGAGCAAAGGAGGAGCAGGGAAAGGAUCAUUUAGCACGUGAAAGGCACCUCUUGUAUGGGGCUACAUGCAUGGCACAGUUCAGCCGGGGUGAGCGACCAGCUCCUGCCAAGCUGUGAUGUAUGAGGCCCAAAGGUCAAAAGUUCUCCUUUACAAUCAGCAAGAAAAGAGAAGGCAGGCGAUGGUCACUUAAUUUGUGGGUUUUUCCUCUACUUGUCAGGAGGAGUUUGGGCAGCGGUGAAGGAUGAGCCAUCAAUUAAAGUCGGCCACUUUGUCUUUUGUCCUGGUUCCCAAAGGGCCCAAUUCCAGCCCUGGCCAAAUCGAUGGGAGUCCCUCCACUGAUGCCAGCAGCUCCUGGAUUGGGAUGAUGGAGGCUGUGGAGCAACUGGGUUGACCAGCCUGCCCUUCCCCAUGCUCAGUGCUGGGUCUCUGGCUCCUCAGUUAUCAGGCAGGACUUUUCCAGAGCUGAGUCUUUUAACAUUUACUCCCAGUCCUUAGAUUUCUGUCCCUGCUCCCUCCCCGUGUAGGUUCUUUCCUUUGCAGCUGGGGCAGUGAGCUGUGCAGUGCAGCAGCUCCUACUCACUCCUUCCUGCUUAUCUGACCACACAUACUGUUAAUAUUUCCUCUAAGGCACUCAGCUCCCAUGAUAACGCUGCUUUAUCCACAAAAAAAGCCUUUCAACGUUUUCCUGGCAAGAGGAACCUUUCCACAGUUUUAUUGCAGCAUAUAUGGCCCUUAAUGGUUUGAUCCUGUAGGACCUGCUCUGCAAUCAGCUCUCACAGUCCUACACAGGCACAGGCCAUCUGGGACCCCCUUCUUUGGGAAGUAUUGUUUCACAUUAUUGCACACACUGGCCUAGGAAAACUAAGCCAGAUUUACAGCCAUAAAAACUCAGUUUGAAGGUGAAGUCAGUACUGACUGUGAGGGAUGGCUCAGCCUCCCUGUUCAUGCCUGGCAGGGAGCCUUUGAUCUUAGAUGUUUAUAAGUUUCUUUCCACAUUGGAAAGAGACCUCAGUGUGUGCACCAGGAACUUCUUCCUCCCAUGUCCUGGUGCCCAGGUUUGCAAGGCAGAGAUGCUCCAAUGACCUCUUCCCUCUGACCAGAUGUGUACAGUGUGGGAUUUGGAACCACAAACAUGUGGAGGUCACCAGCUCAGAGGAUUUAACUUCACUGGAAGCCUGGGCCUGGCACAGGCUUCCUGAGUUUAGUGUGGGAAAGAAGAGGUACCAUGAACUCUCUCCUUUGUUCACCCCUGUGUCAGUCCUAGCUGGGGUGAAGGAGCUUCCAGACACAUAAUAUGGGCAUGGCCAAGUGGUUGCCUCCACAAAGGGGUAUAAUUAGGAAACUGGACACAUUUUCCUCCAUCACUGGUCUUGGUUGACCUGAAUAAUAACCUGCUCCUUUAAAACAGACACACAGGGCUGUUUUCUUUGUGUCACACAGGCUGUGUGAGGAUUGCUUCUCCUCAGUCUGGGGGGAGAGGUUGGGGACUAUGGGAUUUUAUGACAGCACUGGCUGGAAAACCUUCAUUGUCUGGUCAGAGCCUGCAGACACUGUCACAUGCCUGAGUGCUCCCAGGCUGGAUGGUUUGUGUUGGCCUGGGAUGAACAGACACUAAUCUUGUCUCUGCUACAUAUCUCCUUGGAGAGUUAUCCCACUCUCUCUUUGCUGCUCCUCAUCACAGGACCUGGCAUAAAACACCAUGAAAAACUGUUUUUAUGGGAGUGGAACAGAAGCCAGUUUAGUGUUUUUCAAUCAGCCCCUUUUCUUACAGCAACACUCAUGAGGAGGACACAGUUGUGAUUUCCAUUGAAUGGAUGGCUUGGCAUUUCCAUUUGGAGUGAAUGAAAGCAUUUUGGAACUCACCAGUUAAAAUUGUUGCAAUAAGAAAAUACAUAUAGUAAAUACUCUAAAAAAUUGGGGGACCCAUGGAGACAUGUUAUUCCAGUUGGCAUUUUUAGUCCUGAUGUCUAUGCCAUGGUUGUUUCUGGAAUGCUGCAGGUCCAUGAGCACAUUCCAAUACCAAUAAAUGCAUAUUCCUGCAUAUUUUAUGUAAAGGACUGGAUGGAGUCCCAGAGCCAUGUUGUCCAAGGUCCUGUUUCUUACCGCCUGGGACCAUGUUCAAGAGGUCAGAGGAGCCCGGAUCUCCUGACCAGAACAUGGCCAGAAGAAUCCUGGACGACGCUCUAGCCUUGGGGACUGUUCAAGUUGUGAGUGUUGUUUUUGGAUGAUGGCAGAGGUUGAAUAAAUGCUGCAGCUGUAGAGAGCACCCUCACUGGAGAGCUUAACUCCCCGUGUCAAUAUGGGAUUUACAUUUCCAGGCUCCAUGCAUCCAGCCUGCAGGACUCCUCUGUCAAUGGGGUGGGCAGAUCCAGAGCUUACUUUGGCAGAAGAGUUCCUCAACUCUUGUUUAAUUAGAACUCAGACCAGCUUCCUGGAGACUGUGGGAACCUCAUUAGCAGCACAAAUAGAAACUUGAAGAGGCCAACUCAGUGGGAAAAGAUUGCUUGCUAAGAACUUUACUUACCAAGAACUUAACCUCUUCAAGAGUUGUGUCUCUUAGGUACAGCAGAAGAAUUUAUGGCUGGAAUACAAGGUCUCACAAUCUUCCAAAUGCUGAAGAUUUUGUUUUUCAAUGUGAAUUAAAACCUCUCAAAUGAGUAGAAAAAAA
Taeniopygia guttata (zebra finch) is the source of this 7046-nucleotide long non-coding RNA. Lineage: Eukaryota; Metazoa; Chordata; Aves; Passeriformes; Estrildidae. The record is from Ensembl.